RNAcentral lists this ribosomal RNA (533 nucleotides) under uncultured bacterium. RNAcentral's name for it is "bacterial SSU rRNA". It matches the Rfam family "Bacterial small subunit ribosomal RNA", at positions 777 to 1307 of the family's 1533-position model. The record is from RNAcentral.
AAUAGAUACCCCGGUAGUCCACGCCGUAAACGAUGAGUGCUAAGUGUUAGAGGGUUUCCGCCCUUUAGUGCUGCAGCUAACGCAUUAAGCACUCCGCCUGGGGAGUACGGCCGCAAGACUGAAACUCAAAGGAAUUGACGGGGGCCCGCACAAGCGGUGGAGCAUGUGGUUUAAUUCGAAGCAACGCGAAGAACCUUACCAGGUCUUGACAUCCUCUGACAACCCUAGAGAUAGGGCUUUCCCCUUCGGGGGACAGAGUGACAGGUGGUGCAUGGUUGUCGUCAGCUCGUGUCGUGAGAUGUUGGGUUAAGUCCCGCAACGAGCGCAACCCUUGAUCUUAGUUGCCAGCAUUAAGUUGGGCACUCUAAGGUGACUGCCGGUGACAAACCGGAGGAAGGUGGGGAUGACGGUCAAAUCAUCAUGCCCCUUAUGACCUGGGCUACACACGUGCUACAAUGGAUGGUACAAAGGGCUGCAAACCUGCGAAGGUAAGCGAAUCCCAUAAAGCCAUUCUCAGUUCGGAUUGCAGGCUG